This 320-nucleotide unclassified non-coding RNA is filed under the name uncultured fungus. Its description in RNAcentral is "partial contains 5.8S ribosomal RNA, internal transcribed spacer 2, and large subunit ribosomal RNA". The stretch from base 1 to 52 matches the Rfam family "5.8S ribosomal RNA", at positions 103 to 154 of the family's 154-position model. The record is from RNAcentral. RNAcentral also lists the same sequence under 1 other name. Lineage: Eukaryota; Fungi.
AACGCACAUUGCGCUCCUCGGUGUUCCGAGGAGCAUGCCUGUUUGAGUGUCAGUAAAUUCUCGACCCCUCUCGAUUUAUUUCGAGGGGGAGCUUGGAUGGUGGGGGUUGCUGGAGUCCCAGGACUCGAGCUCUCCUGAAAUGCAUUGGCUUGCGGUCGACUUUCUCCUUUGCGCGACAAGGCUUUCGGUGUGAUGAUGAUCGCCGUUCGCCGAAGCGCAUGAACGAAGGUCUCGUGCCUCCAAUACGUCGACUCUUCUCCGAAGAGUCUUCCUUCUUUAUGUUUGACCUCAAAUCAGGUAGGACUACCCGCUGAACUUAA